AACGCUAGCUACAGGCUUAACACAUGCAAGUCGAGGGGCAGCAUGAUUGAAGCUUGCUUCAAUUGAUGGCGACCGGCGCACGGGUGAGUAACACGUAUCCAACCUUCCGUACACUCAGGGAUAGCCUUUCGAAAGAAAGAUUAAUACCUGAUGGUAUCUUAAGCACACAUGUAAUUAAGAUUAAAGAUUUAUCGGUGUACGAUGGGGAUGCGUUCCAUUAGGUAGUAGGCGGGGUAACGGCCCACCUAGCCUACGAUGGAUAGGGGUUCUGAGAGGAAGGUCCCCCACAUUGGAACUGAGACACGGUCCAAACUCCUACGGGAGGCAGCAGUGAGGAAUGUUGGUCAAUGGACGAGAGUCUGAACCAGCCAAGUAGCGUGAAGGAUGAAGGUCCUACGGAUUGUAAACUUCUUUUAUAAGGGAAUAAAACCUCCCACGUGUGGGAGCUUGUAUGUACCUUAUGAAUAAGCAUCGGCUAACUCCGUGCCAGCAGCCGCGGUAAUACGGAGGAUGCGAGCGUUAUCCGGAUUUAUUGGGUUUAAAGGGAGCGCAGACGGGUCGUUAAGUCAGCUGUGAAAGUUUGGGGCUCAACCUUAAAAUUGCAGUUGAUACUGGCGUCCUUGAGUGCGGUUGAGGUGUGCGGAAUUCGUGGUGUAGCGGUGAAAUGCUUAGAUAUCACGAAGAACUCCGAUUG
This 694-nucleotide ribosomal RNA is filed under the name uncultured bacterium. RNAcentral describes it as "bacterial SSU rRNA". It matches the Rfam family "Bacterial small subunit ribosomal RNA", at positions 32 to 715 of the family's 1533-position model. The record is from RNAcentral.